AGUGAACGCUGGCGGUAGGCCUAACACAUGCAAGUCGAACGGCAGCACAGUAAGAGCUUGCUCUUACGGGUGGCGAGUGGCGGACGGGUGAGGCAUACAUCGGAAUCUACUUUUUCGUGGGGGAUAACGUAGGGAAACUUACGCUAAUACCGCAUACGACCUACGGGUGAAAGCAGGGGAUCUUCGGACCUUGCGCGAUUGAAUGAGCCGAUGUCGGAUUAGCUAGUUGGCGUGGUAAAGGCCCACCAAGGCGACGAUCCGUAGCUGGUCUGAGAGGAUGAUCAGCCACACUGGAACUGAGACACGGUCCAGACUCCUACGGGAGGCAGCAGUGGGGAAUAUUGGACAAUGGGCGCAAGCCUGAUCCAGCCAUACCGCGUGAGUGAAGAAGGCCUUCGGGUUGUAAAGCCCUCUUGUUGGGAAAGAAAAGCAGCAGGUUAAUACCCCGCUGUUCUGACGGUACCCAAAGAAUAAGCACCGGCUAACUUCGUG
Molecule: ribosomal RNA, 492 nt
Filed under: uncultured bacterium
Lineage: Bacteria
Description: partial 16S ribosomal RNA
Rfam family: Bacterial small subunit ribosomal RNA
Source: RNAcentral